Molecule: ribosomal RNA, 446 nt
Filed under: uncultured bacterium
Lineage: Bacteria
Description: bacterial SSU rRNA
Rfam family: Bacterial small subunit ribosomal RNA
Source: RNAcentral
CCAGACUCCUACGGGAGGCAGCAGUGGGGAAUAUUGGGCAAUGGGCGCAAGCCUGGCCCAGCAACGCCGCGUGAAGGAAGAAGGCUUUCGGGUUGUAAACUUCUUUUCUUGGGGACGAAGAAAGUGACGGUACCCAAGGAAUAAGCCACGGCUAACUACGUGCCAGCAGCCGCGGUAAUACGUAGGUGGCGAGCGUUAUCCGGAUUUAUUGGGUUUAAAGGGUGCGUAGGCGUGUUAUCAAGUCAGCGGUAAAAUCGUGGAGCUCAACUCCAUCCAGCCGUUGAAACUGAUGAUCUUGAGUGGGCGAGAAGUAUGCGGAAUGCGUGGUGUAGCGGUGAAAUGCAUAGAUAUCACGCAGAACUCCGAUUGCGAAGGCAGCAUACCGGCGCCCGACUGACGCUGAAGCACGAAAGCGUGGGUAUCGAACAGGAUUAGAUACCCGAGUA